AGGGAGGGUUCUCGAUUCUGUUGAUUAUUGGUUGCACUUGUGAAGAAUCGAUGGAAAAUUGGUGGUAGGGUUACAUUGGCUGGAGGCAACUUGGAAGUAUUUUGUUUUCUGUAAAAAGACCGACCAAAUUUGUAGGUUAGAGGGUAGAAAAUGUAACGAAAAGGUUUAGGAAAUGGGUAAGAGCUUUAGAGGAAGAAGUAAAUUGGAGAAUGAAUUACUCUGUACACAUUACAACGCUUAAUACAAGCUUUUUAGCUUCACUGAGCAUUGCUUUUCUCUUCGGGUGUGAUUGGCUUAUAAAGAAGUGCCAAAGAAAAGACAACUUUAGUUCCGUUCCAAUUGUUGAGCAUUGCACAAGAGGGAGGGGCUGUGUGUUCCCUAGAACUGAGAAGCACAUUCUUGCCUUGGCAGAAGAUCUCGAUUUGGUCUCUGCAUAUGCAAUGUAUUAAGGACCACUUUUAUUUCUAACUAGCCUUAAUAUGUGCAUCAAGGCGAGGGGGAGAGAGGAGACAGGACAGGAAACGCUAUUGGAUAUGUGAAACUGGGGCUUGACAGGCUUGAUUU
Molecule: unclassified non-coding RNA, 564 nt
Filed under: Hevea brasiliensis (rubber tree)
Lineage: Eukaryota; Viridiplantae; Streptophyta; Magnoliopsida; Malpighiales; Euphorbiaceae
Source: RNAcentral